GCCACCUUAGCUCAGUUGGUAGAGCAACGGUUUCGUAAACCGUAGGUCACCAGUUCAAAUCUGGUAGGUGGCU
This 73-nucleotide transfer RNA is filed under the name Sandaracinaceae bacterium. Its description in RNAcentral is "tRNA-Thr". It matches the Rfam family "tRNA". Rfam says of the family: Transfer RNA (tRNA) molecules are approximately 80 nucleotides in length. Their secondary structure includes four short double-helical elements and three loops (D, anti-codon, and T loops). The record is from RNAcentral. Lineage: Bacteria; Pseudomonadati; Myxococcota; Polyangiales; Sandaracinaceae.